RNAcentral lists this ribosomal RNA (490 nucleotides) under uncultured eukaryote. RNAcentral's name for it is "bacterial SSU rRNA". It matches the Rfam family "Eukaryotic small subunit ribosomal RNA", at positions 1103 to 1607 of the family's 1831-position model. The record is from RNAcentral.
GUAUUCGGGUUCCGGGGGGAGUAUGGUCGCAAGGCCGAAACUUAAGGAAUUGACGGAAGGGCACCACCAGGAGUGGAAUCUGCGGCUUAAUUUGACAACGCGGGAAAACUCACCAGGUCAGGACACGGUAAGGAUUGACGGACUGAAGGCUCUUUCUCGAUUCCGUGGAAAGUGGUGCAUGGCCGUUUUUGGUUGGUGGAUCGAUCCGUCUGGUUAAUUCCGUUAACGAACGAGACCUCGGCACUCCGAAUAGCGCGGCGGACGUCGCGGCCUCCGGGCCGUCUUCCGCACGAGCUUCUUAGAGGGACCGUCCCCCGCCGGGGAAGGAGGUGCGAGGCAACGACAGGUCUGUGAUGCCCUUAGAUGUUCUGGGCCGCACGCGCAUUACACUGACGCGUCCAACGGGUGACUCCCGACCCGAAGGGGCCGGGGAAUCCGCAAGGCGCGUCGUGAUGGGGAUUGAACGUUGCAAUUGUUGUUCACGAACGAG